GAUUAACGCUGGCGGCGUGCAUAACACAUGCCAGUCGAACGAUGAAACUUAGUCGACUUCUUCGGAAAGACACUAAGCGGAUUAGUGGCGAACGGGUGAGUAACGCGUGAGUAACCUGCCUUACACAAGGGGAUAGCCUUUGGAAACGAAGAAUAAUACCCUAUAAAACUAUAAAAGCACAUGCUAGAAUGGUCAAAGUGCUAGCGGUGUAAGAUGGACUUGCGUCUGAUUAGCUAGUUGGUGAGAUAAAAGCUCACCAAGGCAACGAUCAGUAGCCGGCUUGAGAGAGUGUACGGCCACAUUGGGACUGAGACACGGCCCAGACUCCUACGGGAGGCAGCAGUGGGGAAUUUUGCACAAUGGGGGAAACCCUGAUGCAGCGACGCCGCGUGAUUUAGAAGGCCUUCGGGUUGUAAAAAUCUUUUGUAUAGGAAGAAAAUGACAGUACUAUACGAAUAAGGUCCGGCUAAUUACGUG
Molecule: ribosomal RNA, 477 nt
Filed under: uncultured bacterium
Lineage: Bacteria
Description: partial 16S ribosomal RNA
Rfam family: Bacterial small subunit ribosomal RNA
Source: RNAcentral